Molecule: non-coding RNA, 87 nt
Organism: Obelidium mucronatum
Lineage: Eukaryota; Fungi; Chytridiomycota; Chytridiomycetes; Chytridiales; Chytriomycetaceae
Source: the annotation of a GenBank genome assembly
GCCUCCUUAGCUCAGUUGGUUAGAUCGCCUGCCUAGUAUCAUCUACUGGAUAGCAGGAAGUCAGCGGUUCAAAUCCGCUAGGAGGCA